GUGCAACUAGGUACAAACUUCCAUCACCUUUACGGUGAAACUGCUUCUGGGCUGAAUGUUCCCAGCACAAUGAGACUUGAGCUGAUUAACUCCUUAAGCAGAAAAACCGUCAUAAGACGUGGUACAGAAAGAGUUCUGCCUAAGUUACUUUGGUAACUAAAGAAUACCAGAAAUCUCACAGACUCAGUACCAAGGCUGAAGAAGCAAGUUUGAAAAUGGACCAAAAGCAAUGGAAGCCAAGUAACUGAAACUUCAGUUGAAAUCAUGCCAUCUGAUGAAUCUGGUGAAAAUGCCACUUCCUCUAC
Long non-coding RNA from Balaenoptera musculus (blue whale), 305 nucleotides. RefSeq lists it as uncharacterized. NCBI's taxonomy places the organism in Eukaryota, Metazoa, Chordata, Mammalia, Artiodactyla, Balaenopteridae. The transcript is spliced from 3 exons. The record is from RefSeq and is a predicted model, not a curated record.